CAUGCAGUCGAGCGGAACGAGUUAUCUGAACCUUCGGGGAACGAUAACGGCGUCGAGCGGCGGACGGGUGAGUAAUGCCUAGGAAAUUGCCCUGAUGUGGGGGAUAACCAUUGGAAACGAUGGCUAAUACCGCAUGAUGCCUACGGGCCAAAGAGGGGGACCUUCGGGCCUCUCGCGUCAGGAUAUGCCUAGGUGGGAUUAGCUAGUUGGUGAGGUAAGGGCUCACCAAGGCGACGAUCCCUAGCUGGUCUGAGAGGAUGAUCAGCCACACUGGAACUGAGACACGGUCCAGACUCCUACGGGAGGCAGCAGUGGGGAAUAUUGCACAAUGGGCGCAAGCCUGAUGCAGCCAUGCCGCGUGUGUGAAGAAGGCCUUCGGGUUGUAAAGCACUUUCAGUCGUGAGGAAGGUGGUGUAGUUAAUAGCUGCAUYAUUUGACGUUAGCGACAGAAGAAGCACCGGCUAACUCCGUGCCAGCAGCCGCGGUAAUACGGAGGGUGCGAGCGUUAAUCGGAAUUACUGGGCGUAAAGCGCAUGCAGGUGGUUUGUUAAGUCAGAUGUGAAAGCCCGGGGCUCAACCUCGGAAUAGCAUUUGAAACUGGCAGACUAGAGUACUGUAGAGGGGGGUAGAAUUUCAGGUGUAGCGGUGAAAUGCGUAGAGAUCUGAAGGAAUACCGGUGGCGAAGGCGGCCCCCUGGACAGAUACUGACACUCAGAUGCGAAAGCGUGGGAGCAAACAGGAUUAGAUACCCUGGUAGUCCACGCCGUAAACGAUGUCUACUUGGAGGUUGUGGCCUUGAGCCGUGGCUUUCGGAGCUAACGCGUUAAGUAGACCGCCUGGGGAGUACGGUCGCAAGAUUAAAACUCAAAUGAAUUGACGGGGGCCCGCACAAGCGGUGGAGCAUGUGGUUUAAUUCGAUGCAACGCGAAGAACCUUACCUACUCUUGACAUCCAGAGAACUUUCCAGAGAUGGAUUGGUGCCUUCGGGAACUCUGAGACAGGUGCUGCAUGGCUGUCGUCAGCUCGUGUUGUGAAAUGUUGGGUUAAGUCCCGCAACGAGCGCAACCCUUAUCCUUGUUUGCCAGCGAGUAAUGUCGGGAACUCCAGGGAGACUGCCGGUGAUAAACCGGAGGAAGGUGG
This 1140-nucleotide ribosomal RNA is filed under the name Vibrio sp. H4B. RNAcentral's name for it is "bacterial SSU rRNA". It matches the Rfam family "Bacterial small subunit ribosomal RNA", at positions 54 to 1176 of the family's 1533-position model. Lineage: Bacteria; Pseudomonadati; Pseudomonadota; Gammaproteobacteria; Vibrionales; Vibrionaceae. RNAcentral also lists the same sequence under 1 other name. The record is from RNAcentral.